GACGAACGCUGGCGGCGUGCUUAACACAUGCAAGUCGAACGAAGAGCGAUGGAAGCUUGCUUCUAUCAAUCUUAGUGGCGAGCGGGUGAGUAACGCGUAAUCAACCUGCCCUUCAGAGGGGGACAACAGUUGGAAACGACUGCUAAUACCGCAUACGAUCUAACCUCGGCAUCGAGGAUGGAUGAAAGGUGGCCUCUAUUUAUAAGCUAUCACUGCAGGAGGGGAUUGCGUCUGAUUAGCUAGUUGGAGGGGUAACGGCCCACCAAGGCGAUGAUCAGUAGCCGGUCUGAGAGGAUGAACGGCCACAUUGGGACUGAGACACGGCCCAGACUCCUACGGGAGGCAGCAGUGGGGAAUCUUCCGCAAUGGACGAAAGUCUGACGGAGCAACGCCGCGUGAGUGAUGACGGCCUUCGGGUUGUAAAGCUCUGUUAAUCGGGACGAAAGGCCUUCUUGCGAAUAGUUAGAAGGAUUGACGGUACCGGAAUAGAAAGCCACGGCUAACUACGUG
This 510-nucleotide ribosomal RNA is filed under the name uncultured bacterium. RNAcentral's name for it is "partial 16S ribosomal RNA". It matches the Rfam family "Bacterial small subunit ribosomal RNA", at positions 28 to 507 of the family's 1533-position model. The record is from RNAcentral.